Molecule: ribosomal RNA, 450 nt
Filed under: uncultured bacterium
Lineage: Bacteria
Description: bacterial SSU rRNA
Rfam family: Bacterial small subunit ribosomal RNA
Source: RNAcentral
UCGAGAAUUUUUCUCAAUGGGGGAAACCCUGAAGGAGCGACGCCGCGUGAAGGAUGAAGGUCUUCGGAUUGUAAACUUCUGUCAUUAGGGAACAAAUCUUCCGCGUAACUGCCGGAAGUCUGAUAGUACCUGAAGAGGAAGAGACGGCUAACUCUGUGCCAGCAGCCGCGGUAAUACAGAGGUCUCAACCGUUGUUCGGAAUUACUGGGCGUAAAGCGCGUGUAGGCGGCUCUUCAAGUCAGGCGUGAAAGCCCCAGGCUCAACCUGGGAAAUGCGUUUGAUACUGUCGAGCUAGAGUGUGGAAGGGGCGAUUGGAAUUCCGUGUGUAGCGGUGAAAUGCGUAGAUAUACGGAGGAACACCAGAGGCGAAGGCGGAUCGCUGGGCCAACACUGACGCUGAGACGCGAAAGCUAGGGUAGCAAACGGGAUUAGAUACCCUAGUAGUCCCUG